Molecule: ribosomal RNA, 1370 nt
Filed under: uncultured bacterium
Lineage: Bacteria
Description: bacterial SSU rRNA
Rfam family: Bacterial small subunit ribosomal RNA
Source: RNAcentral
GACGAACGUUGGCGGCGCGCCUAAUACAUGCAAGUAGAACGCUGAAGAGAGGAGCUUGCUCUUCUUGGAUGAGUUGCGAACGGGUGAGUAACGCGUAGGUAACCUGCCUUGUAGCGGGGGAUAACUAUUGGAAACGAUAGCUAAUACCGCAUAACAAUGGAUGACACAUGUCAUUUAUUUGAAAGGGGCAAUUGCUCCACUACAAGAUGGACCUGCGUUGUAUUAGCUAGUAGGUGAGGUAACGGCUCACCUAGGCGACGAUACAUAGCCGACCUGAGAGGGUGAUCGGCCACACUGGGACUGAGACACGGCCCAGACUCCUACGGGAGGCAGCAGUAGGGAAUCUUCGGCAAUGGGGGCAACCCUGACCGAGCAACGCCGCGUGAGUGAAGAAGGUUUUCGGAUCGUAAAGCUCUGUUGUAAGUCAAGAACGAGUGUGAGAGUGGAAAGUUCACACUGUGACGGUAGCUUACCAGAAAGGGACGGCUAACUACGUGCCAGCAGCCGCGGUAAUACGUAGGUCCCGAGCGUUGUCCGGAUUUAUUGGGCGUAAAGCGAGCGCAGGCGGUUUGAUAAGUCUGAAGUUAAAGGGCUGUGGCUCAACCAUAGUUCGCUUUGGAAACUGUCAAACUUGAGUGCAGAAGGGGAGAGUGGAAUUCCAUGUGUAGCGGUGAAAUGCGUAGAUAUAUGGAGGAACACCGGUGGCGAAAGCGGCUCUCUGGUCUGUAACUGACGCUGAGGCUCGAAAGCGUGGGGAGCGAACAGGAUUAGAUACCCUGGUAGUCCACGCCGUAAACGAUGAGUGCUAGGUGUUGGAUCCUUUCCGGGAUUCAGUGCCGCAGCUAACGCAUUAAGCACUCCGCCUGGGGAGUACGACCGCAAGGUUGAAACUCAAAGGAAUUGACGGGGGCCCGCACAAGCGGUGGAGCAUGUGGUUUAAUUCGAAGCAACGCGAAGAACCUUACCAGGUCUUGACAUCCCGAUGCUAUUUCUAGAGAUAGAAAGUUACUUCGGUACAUCGGUGACAGGUGGUGCAUGGUUGUCGUCAGCUCGUGUCGUGAGAUGUUGGGUUAAGUCCCGCAACGAGCGCAACCCCUAUUGUUAGUUGCCAUCAUUCAGUUGGGCACUCUAGCGAGACUGCCGGUAAUAAACCGGAGGAAGGUGGGGAUGACGUCAAAUCAUCAUGCCCCUUAUGACCUGGGCUACACACGUGCUACAAUGGUUGGUACAACGAGUUGCGAGUCGGUGACGGCAAGCUAAUCUCUUAAAGCCAAUCUCAGUUCGGAUUGUAGGCUGCAACUCGCCUACAUGAAGUCGGAAUCGCUAGUAAUCGCGGAUCAGCACGCCGCGGUGAAUACGUUCCCGGGCCU